AAACCAACAGGGAUUGCCUUAGUAACGGCGAGUGAACGGCAAAAGCUCAAAUUUGAAAUCUGGCACCUUCGGUGUCCGAGUUGUAAUUUGAAGAAGGUAACUUUGGAGUCAGCUCUUGUCUAUGUUCCUUGGAACAGGACGUCACAGAGGGUGAGAAUCCCGUGCGAUGAGAUGUCUGAUUCUAUGUAAAGUGCUUUCGAAGAGUCGAGUUGUUUGGGAAUGCAGCUCUAAGUGGGUGGUAAAUUCCAUCUAAAGCUAAAUAUUGGCGAGAGACCGAUAGCGAACAAGUACAGUGAUGGAAAGAUGAAAAGAACUUUGAAAAGAGAGUGAAAAAGUACGUGAAAUUGUUGAAAGGGAAGGGUUUGAGAUCAGACUUGGUAUUUUGUAUGUCUUGCUUUCGGGUGGGGCCUCUACAGUUUACUGGGCCAGCAUCGGUUUGGACGGUAGGAUAAUGACAUUGGAAUGUGGCACCACUUCGGUGGUGUGUUAUAGACUUUGUUGAUACUGCCUGUCUAGACCGAGGACUGCGUCUUUGACUAGGAUGCUGGCAUAAUGAUCUUAAACCGCCCGUCUG
RNAcentral lists this ribosomal RNA (574 nucleotides) under Scheffersomyces stipitis. Its description in RNAcentral is "eukaryotic LSU rRNA". It matches the Rfam family "Eukaryotic large subunit ribosomal RNA", at positions 62 to 655 of the family's 3401-position model. The record is from RNAcentral. Lineage: Eukaryota; Fungi; Ascomycota; Pichiomycetes; Serinales; Debaryomycetaceae.